GACAGAGGGGGCAAGCGUUGCUCGGAAUUACUGGGCGUAAAGGGCGCGUAGGCGGGAUGGCAAGUCGGUCGUGAAAUCCCUCGGCUCAACUGAGGAUCGUCGAUCGAUACUGCCGUUCUUGAGGAUUGCAGAGGAGACUGGAAUUCCCGGUGUAGCGGUGAAAUGUGUAGAGAUCGGGAGGAACACCGGUGGCGAAGGCGGGUCUCUGGGCCGAUAUUGACGCUGAGGAGCGAAAGCGUGGGGAGCAAACAGG
Molecule: ribosomal RNA, 253 nt
Filed under: uncultured bacterium
Lineage: Bacteria
Description: partial 16S ribosomal RNA
Rfam family: Bacterial small subunit ribosomal RNA
Source: RNAcentral